AUGGCUGAAGACGGCCUCCAACCGCCGGGCCCAAAGCAGCCAGCCUUUGUUCGCAUGCGCGUCUCCUUCCUGCGUCACCUAGGUAUGCGCCACCACCCACACAGGAUCUUUAUAAGAGCAAAAACUACAAAAUGGAAAUCUCAGUCCUACUUCUCCAUGACGACAAGGACGACAUCGCCAUGCGUGCACGCUCCAACCUGUCCCCUGUCGCAGCCCCACCACUCGUUGCCGAUGCACUCCAACCCGAGGACCACCAUGAUGGAGGUCGCCUCACAGCCUAGCGACGAGUGUUUGUUGGUUUCUCUUUCAUUUACGGACAUCUUGGGCUUGCUGGGUGCAUAA
This 342-nucleotide ribosomal RNA is filed under the name Triticum aestivum (bread wheat). Its description in RNAcentral is "partial small subunit ribosomal RNA". Lineage: Eukaryota; Viridiplantae; Streptophyta; Magnoliopsida; Poales; Poaceae. The record is from RNAcentral.